RNAcentral lists this transfer RNA (77 nucleotides) under Clostridiaceae bacterium. Its description in RNAcentral is "tRNA-His". It matches the Rfam family "tRNA". From Rfam's summary of the family: Transfer RNA (tRNA) molecules are approximately 80 nucleotides in length. Lineage: Bacteria; Bacillati; Bacillota; Clostridia; Eubacteriales; Clostridiaceae. RNAcentral also lists the same sequence under 2 other names. The record is from RNAcentral.
GUGGGUAUAGCUCAGUUGGUUAGAGUGCCUGGUUGUGGCCCAGGAGGUCGUGGGUUCAACUCCCACUACUCACCCCA